This 724-nucleotide long non-coding RNA is filed under the name Salvia miltiorrhiza (redroot sage). RNAcentral describes it as "long non-coding RNA (SMIL_LNC010209)". Lineage: Eukaryota; Viridiplantae; Streptophyta; Magnoliopsida; Lamiales; Lamiaceae. The record is from RNAcentral.
UUUUUCCCAAAGAUUUUGCAGUAUCAGAUCUUCCAUCUCCCCAAAAAUUCUGCAGUGCCAAAUCUUUUACUUUUUCCAAAUCUUGACAAAUUGAUCCUACGAGCAAAUCCUUUUAUUUUCCAAGACAAUCUUCUGGUGUCAAGCUCAUUUUAUACUCCACAAAACCAAAUACAACAAACACCAACAAAACCCACCAUUUCUUCACCCCUGCCACCACAAUUGUGGUGUGUAUGGUUCAACUUCAUACUCCUAUUCUCAACUACAUUUCCGUAAUCUUCAGAAACAAAGAAGAAUUUGUACAGAACCUUUGGAAACAAGAAAACCUAAGGACAUAACAUUUAUACAAUUUCAGAUUUCUCCAAGAACCCAUCUUUCUUUCUUCAAAUCUGAGUUGAAUCCUUCUUGCUUACCUUCGGAACGAGAGUGAGAGUCGAGAAAGUGGUGAGAGCUGGGAGGGGGUCUGUCGGAGCCUCACUCUGAGUUGACGAAGUCGCAGCUGCCGGUGCUGCAGGUGGCGGCAGCCCACCGGCCGCUCGUAGCUAAUGCAGGCGGAGGAGGAGGCGGAGGCCCAAGACGGACGGCUGUUGGCUGGCAGGAGGCAAGGCGACGUGACCCGAGGCGAUGCGAGACGCCGUCGCACGGGGCGGCGCGGCCGAAGGCCAAGCGCCGCUAGCCACUGCGAGAACGGAGCAGCAGCAGCAAGCGCUCGUCCGCUGCCGGAAAC